UGGGGAAUAUUGGACAAUGGGCGCAAGCCUGAUCCAGCAAUGCCGCGUGUGUGAAGAAGGCCUGCGGGUUGUAAAGCACUUUCAGUAGGGAAGAAAAGCCUAGGGUUAAUAACCCUGAGUCUUGACGUUACCUACAGAAGAAGCACCGGCUAAUUCCGUGCCAGCAGCCGCGGUAAUACGGAAGGUGCGAGCGUUAAUCGGAAUUACUGGGCGUAAAGCGCACGUAGGCGGUUGGGUAAGUCGGAUGUGAAAGCCCCGGGCUUAACCUGGGAAUUGCAUUCGAUACUGCUCGACUCGAGUAUGGGAGAGGGUAGCGGAAUUCCGGGUGUAGCGGUGAAAUGCGUAGAUAUCCGGAGGAACAUCAGUGGCGAAGGCGGCUGCCUGGACCAAUACUGACGCUGAGGUGCGAAAGCGUGGGGAGCAAACAGGAUUAGAUACCCCCGUAGUCC
This 449-nucleotide ribosomal RNA is filed under the name uncultured prokaryote. Its description in RNAcentral is "bacterial SSU rRNA". It matches the Rfam family "Bacterial small subunit ribosomal RNA", at positions 355 to 796 of the family's 1533-position model. The record is from RNAcentral.